UAACGAAUAUUGGGCAAUGGGCGCAAGCCUGACCCAGCAAUGCCGCGUGCAGGAGGAAGCCCCUCGGGGUGUAAACUGCUGUCAGGGUCUAGUAAGCAAGGCAGGUGAAUAAUCUGUUGCGUUGAACAGACCCAAAGGAAGCCUCGGCUAACUCUGUGCCAGCAGCCGCGGUAAGACAGAGGAGGCAAGCGUUGAUCGGAAUUAUUGGGCUUAAAGCGCGUGUAGGCGGCUGCGCAAGUGUCUUGUGAAAUUCCAGGGCUCAACCCUGGAACUGCUGGGCAAACUGCGUAGCUUGAGGUCGGUAGAGGUGUCUGGAACUCUUGGUGGAGCGGUGAAAUGUGUAGAUAUCAAGAGGAAUGCCCGAGGCGAAAGCGGGGCACUGGGCCGAAUCUGACGCUGAGACGCGAAAGCGUGGGGAUCAAACAGGAUUAGAUACCCCCGUAGUCC
RNAcentral lists this ribosomal RNA (447 nucleotides) under uncultured prokaryote. RNAcentral describes it as "bacterial SSU rRNA". It matches the Rfam family "Bacterial small subunit ribosomal RNA", at positions 355 to 796 of the family's 1533-position model. The record is from RNAcentral.